Molecule: ribosomal RNA, 459 nt
Filed under: uncultured bacterium
Lineage: Bacteria
Description: partial 16S ribosomal RNA
Rfam family: Bacterial small subunit ribosomal RNA
Source: RNAcentral
CCUACGGGCGGCAGCAGUGAGGAAUAUUGGUCAAUGGGCGCGAGCCUGAACCAGCCAAGUAGCGUGAAGGAUGACUGCCCUACGGGUUGUACACUUCUUUUAUAAAGGAAUAAAGUGAGGCACGUGUGCCUUUUUGUAUGUACUUUAUGAAAAAGCAUCGGCUAACUCCGUGCCAGCAGCCGCGGUAAUACGGAGGAUGCGAGCGUUAUCCGGAUUUAUUGGGUUUAAAGGGUGCGUAGGCGGGCCUUCAGGCCGGCGGGAAAAUUGCGGGGCUCAACCCCGCCGAGCCGUCGGAACCGGGGGCCUUGAGUACAGGAGAAGUACGCGGAAUGCGUGGUGUAGCGGUGAAAUGCAUAGAUAUCACGCAGAACGCCGAUUGCGAAGGCAGCAUACCGGCGCUCAACUGACGCUGAGGCACGAAAGCGUGGGGAUCGAACAGGAUUAGAUACCCCAGUAGUC